AAGUAUUAAAGGUAGCGCCUGCCCAGUGAAAACUUAAACGGCCGCGGUAUCCUAACCGUGCAAAGGUAGCGUAAUCAUUUGUCCUCUAAAUAAGGACCUGUAUGAAUGGCUAAAUGAGGGCCAACCUGUCUCCUUUAACCCAUCAGUGAAACUGAUCUACCAGUACAAAAGCUGGCAUAAACCCAUAAGACGAGAAGACCCUGUGGAGCUUAAAAUUUACGUCAACAGACCAGCCCAACAAACUCUACUUGACUAACAUUUUCAGUUGGGGCGACUUCGGAACAAAACCAAACUUCCGAGCAAGGGACUCAAACCCUAACAAGACCCACAAGUCCAAAUAACAUGACCCAGCAAGACUGAUAAACGAACUAAGUUACCCCAGGGAUAACAGCGCAAUCCUCUUCAAGAGUCCAUAUCGACAAGAGGGUUUACGACCUCGAUGUUGGAUCAGGACAACCAACUGGUGCAGCCGCUAUUAAUGGUUCGUUUGUUCAACGAUUAACAGUCCUACGUGAUCUGAGUUCAGACCGGAGU
RNAcentral lists this ribosomal RNA (534 nucleotides) under Eurolophosaurus amathites. Its description in RNAcentral is "partial large subunit ribosomal RNA". It matches the Rfam family "Bacterial large subunit ribosomal RNA", at positions 1841 to 2622 of the family's 2925-position model. Lineage: Eukaryota; Metazoa; Chordata; Lepidosauria; Squamata; Tropiduridae. The record is from RNAcentral.